GCCCCCAUAGCUCAGCGGAUUAGAGCACUUGGUUGCGGACUAAGGGGUCGCAGGUUCGAGUCCUGCUGGGGGCG
Molecule: transfer RNA, 74 nt
Filed under: Anaerolineae bacterium SM23_ 63
Lineage: Bacteria; Bacillati; Chloroflexota; Anaerolineae
Also listed under: 1 other name
Description: tRNA-Arg
Rfam family: tRNA
About the family: Transfer RNA (tRNA) molecules are approximately 80 nucleotides in length.
Source: RNAcentral